This 501-nucleotide ribosomal RNA is filed under the name uncultured bacterium. RNAcentral describes it as "bacterial SSU rRNA". It matches the Rfam family "Bacterial small subunit ribosomal RNA", at positions 28 to 484 of the family's 1533-position model. The record is from RNAcentral.
GAUGAACGCUGGCGGCGUGCCUAAUACAUGCAAGUCGAACGCAUUGUGGUUGAAAUGAUAUGAAGAACUUGUUCAGAUUUGAUUUUCAACAUUGCAAUGAGUGGCGAACGGGUGAGUAACACGUGGGAAACCUACCUCUUAGCAGGGGAUAACAUUUGGAAACAAAUGCUAAUACCGUAUAAUAAUUAAAACCGCAUGGUUUUAGUUUAAAAGAUGGUCUUGCUAUCACUAAGAGAUGGUCCCGCGGUGUAUUAGUUAGUUGGUGAGGUAAUGGCUCACCAAGACAAUGAUACAUAGCCGAGUUGAGAGACUGACCGGCCACAAUGGGACUGAGACACGGCCCAUACUCCUACGGGAGGCAGCAGUAGGGAAUCUUCCACAAUGGACGAAAGUCUGAUGGAGCAACGCCGCGUGUGUGAUGAAGGGUUUCGGCUCGUAAAACACUGUCGUAAGAGAAGAUGACAUUGAGAGUAACUGUUCAAUGUGUGACGGUAUCUUAAC